GUGGGGAAUUUUGGACAAUGGGCGAAAGCCUGAUCCAGCAAUGCCGCGUGUGUGAAGAAGGCCUUCGGGUUGUAAAGCACUUUUGGCAGGGAAGAAACAGUGCGUGCUAAUACCAUGCGCGAAUGACGGUACCUGCAGAAUAAGCACCGGCUAACUACGUGCCAGCAGCCGCGGUAAUACGUAGGGUGCAAGCGUUAAUCGGAAUUACUGGGCGUAAAGCGUGCGCAGGCGGCUUUGUAAGACGGAUGUGUAAGCCCCGGGCUCAACCUGGGAAGUGCAUUCGAUACUGCAAGGCUAGAGUCUGUCAGAAGGAGGUGGAAUUCCGCGUGUAGGAGUGAAAUGCGUAGAGAUGCAGAGGAACAACGAUGGCGUAGGCAGCCUCCUGGGAUAACACUGACGCUCAGGCACGAAAACGUGGGGAGCAAACAAGAUUAGAAACCCGUGUAGUCC
RNAcentral lists this ribosomal RNA (450 nucleotides) under uncultured bacterium. RNAcentral's name for it is "partial 16S ribosomal RNA". It matches the Rfam family "Bacterial small subunit ribosomal RNA", at positions 354 to 796 of the family's 1533-position model. The record is from RNAcentral.